GCGAGGGUGGCGGAAUUGGCAGACGCGCCAGAUUUAGGAUCUGGUGGUUAUUCCGUGCGGGUUCGAGUCCCGCCUCUCGCACCA
RNAcentral lists this transfer RNA (84 nucleotides) under Thermodesulfobacteriota bacterium. RNAcentral describes it as "Thermodesulfobacteria bacterium tRNA-Leu". It matches the Rfam family "tRNA". From Rfam's summary of the family: Transfer RNA (tRNA) molecules are approximately 80 nucleotides in length. Their secondary structure includes four short double-helical elements and three loops (D, anti-codon, and T loops). Further hydrogen bonds mediate the characteristic L-shaped molecular structure. tRNAs have two regions of fundamental functional importance: the anti-codon, which is responsible for specific mRNA codon recognition, and the 3' end, to which the tRNAs corresponding amino acid is attached (by aminoacyl-tRNA synthetases). tRNAs cope with the degeneracy of the genetic code in two manners: having more than one tRNA (with a specific anti-codon) for a particular amino acid; and 'wobble' base-pairing, i.e. permitting non-standard base-pairing at the 3rd anti-codon position. Lineage: Bacteria; Pseudomonadati; Thermodesulfobacteriota. The record is from RNAcentral.